RNAcentral lists this small nuclear RNA (72 nucleotides) under Pteropus vampyrus (large flying fox). RNAcentral describes it as "U5 spliceosomal RNA (ENSPVAG00000029655.1)". It matches the Rfam family "U5 spliceosomal RNA", at positions 5 to 76 of the family's 117-position model. Rfam says of the family: U5 RNA is a component of both types of known spliceosome. The precise function of this molecule is unknown, though it is known that the 5' loop is required for splice site selection and p220 binding, and that both the 3' stem-loop and the Sm site are important for Sm protein binding and cap methylation. The record is from RNAcentral. Lineage: Eukaryota; Metazoa; Chordata; Mammalia; Chiroptera; Pteropodidae.
UCUGGUUUCUCUUCAGAUUGUAUAAAUCUUUCGCCUUUUACUAAGGAUUUCUGUGGAGAGGAACAAUUCUGA